This 521-nucleotide ribosomal RNA is filed under the name uncultured Acaulospora. RNAcentral describes it as "SSU rRNA". It matches the Rfam family "Eukaryotic small subunit ribosomal RNA", at positions 572 to 1092 of the family's 1831-position model. The record is from RNAcentral. Lineage: Eukaryota; Fungi; Glomeromycota; Glomeromycetes; Diversisporales; Acaulosporaceae.
CGCCGCGGUAAUUCCAGCUCCAAUAGCGUAUAUUAAAGUUGUUGCAGUUAAAAAGCUCGUAGUUGAAUUUCGGGGUCUGUCCGUCGGUCGGGCUUCACGGUCCGUACUGGUGUGAUGGGUUCCUACCUUCUGAAUAACCGGCAUGCCAUUCAGUUGGUGCGCCGGGGAAGCAGAGCUAUUACCUUGAAAAAAUUAGAGUGCUUAAAGCAGGCUAGUGCUUGAAUAGAUUAGCAUGGAAUAAUAAAAUAGGACGGCAUGGUUCUAUUUUGUUGGUUUCUAGGAUCACCGUAAUGAUUAAUAGGGAUAGUUGGGGGCAUUAGUAUUCAAUUGUCAGAGGUGAAAUUCUUGGAUUUAUUGAAGACUAACUUCUGCGAAAGCAUUUGCCAAGGAUGUUUUCAUUAAUCAAGAACGAAAGUUAGGGGAUCGAAGACGAUCAGAUACCGUCGUAGUCUUAACCAUAAACUAUGCCGACUAGGGAUCGGACGAUGUUAAUUUUUUAAUGACUCGUUCGGCGCCUUACG